Molecule: long non-coding RNA, 4919 nt
Filed under: Brachypodium distachyon (stiff brome)
Lineage: Eukaryota; Viridiplantae; Streptophyta; Magnoliopsida; Poales; Poaceae
Description: long non-coding RNA (BDIS_LNC005993)
Source: RNAcentral
AAAAUUUCUAGAUUAACAAACAGUUUUUGCCAAUGUUGACACCUCUUGCACAGCUCCAAGGAUCUUGGUCCAUAUAAUCUUCACAUCAUGCUUUCUGUAAUCCUGAAAACUAAUGCAAUUUCUUAGGUUUCAAGUACAGCAGACAGCAGCUGUGUAGCACAACUGUCGCGUCAUUGACUUAAAAUCCUGAUCUGAAUUCAGAAAUGAACUUCCAAAUUUGUCCAUAUACCACACAAUAAAAAAACAAAUACUAGAUGGUUUUGGAUUCAGCACGAAAGAUACAAUUCUUGACAUCCACAUUUUGAUGUUUCUGAAAUUCUCAUCCAAAAGCAAGCAAAAGUAUUCAUUUCCUUAGUUUCAUAAUUGUCAUUGUUGUUUUGUGCUGGUUCCAAACAUAAGCAACGACAACAAAGUUCCAAUCUUUCAAUCGCUCAUAGUUGAAUUCAGAACAGAUGUAUUAACAGUGAUACAUCUGGACCUGUUUUUGUGAAUAGAAGUAUACCACUCUGAUUUCUGAAAUAAAGUGUUCCCUUCUUGGUUUAGAUAUCGAUGAAUGCCAGAAUAUCGACGAUAACAAUUGCAGCAUUCAGAAUUUCUGCAACAACACUGAAGGAGGUUUUACUUGCUCCUGUCCCCAGAACAUGGUUGGUGACGGUUACAUGACAGGAACAAACUGCACUGUGGCACUUAUGCCAUCUGGUAAUGCCCUAUAUAUGUCUUAAAGAAAUUCACAGUUUACCAUAGUAAUGCCUUGCUUUAUUAAAGAAAAUGACUCAGGACAUACACGGCUACGAUAAAAGUACUUAACAAUUUGUACAGUAUCAAAAGCUAUAAAUGAACUUAUAUGUACUUAUGCUAGAAGUACUUCAGGUUCUCAAGUGCUGCUGUAGGAGCCUUUUUAUGCUACCCUGUACUGUUUGGAGGAGAGGGAGCAGUAUAUAGAUAUCCAUCGUUGGUUUCUAAAGGGUAGGAUAGGCAUUUCCUAUUAAGAUAAUUAAUUAGCAGGAAAUGUUAAUAUUUUUAGUUCCUAAAGACGUCCGUAUGCAACAAUUACAAGGUAUGGUAAACAUAGUAUUUGCUCACCAGUCAGCACGAGGAGUAAACUAUUAGUUCUACUGAUGAUCUAUGGCUAUCUAUUAGGUCCUCCAGGCAUUCAUCACAAAAAAAAGGGUUCUCCAGGCAUGACUAGCGACGGCCAGAAAAAGGGCAACGGCUGGCAAAAUCACUCUCCUACAAAUACUUCUUGGGUUAACUUACUCAACAGAUGACAUGCCACAUUAGAUCAUCAUCUUUUGUUUUUAUUUAAUUCUUUUGUUCCUGCAAUUCUCAGGCAAAAAAGUUCUACAAUGCUGGUCUACUGAUCUAGUAUAGAGUGUAUAGAUGUACACCAAUUCAUAAGAGAGGUCAGCAACUGGGCCAAUUUUUUUUGAACAAUACACGCAAAAAAAGAAAAUUUGGACGGGAGGGGGGGUGGGGGCAAACAUGCAGAUGUUCGAACACUAUGUGCAUCCGCCAAUAUUCCGUGCUAAAAGUAUACAAUUGUGAGACCUAAUUUUUUUGUGUGUGUACAUAUCUAGUUAUUUACCUUUUUGUGGUCCUCAUCCCUCUCUUUGUUCUGCAGAUCAAAAACAUAUCUUGUGACUAAAUUUGCAUGUGCAAGAGUACUCACACGUCUAUAUGUGUCAACCCCCCCCCCCCCCCCCCCCCCCCCCUUUUACAAGUAUACACAAUAUGUUAUGAUUUAUGGCUAAGAGAAGGAUACCUAGACUGAAAACAUCUUCACUAAUGUUACAGAUAAUUCAUAGCCUAUGGUUGUCCUUAAGAUAGCAUCAGUACUGCAUUUGCAUGUGAGCAGUUCAGAAGUAAUACGGUACCUAGCUAGGGUUGUUUUGGCGGCAGUGGCCCAAACGAUACCACUAGGGAUAAGGUAGUGUUUUCUUAUUCUUUUAUUAUAUGAAUUUGAAUUGGUUCUUAAUUGAUGGGAUUUAGAAUAAAAAACUACAAAGCUAAAAUGUCAGAAAUCAUGGUAUCCAAAGAAAGGAAAGGUCCCUAAGGGGCAUUAUGUUUUUUCCGAUCAAAGAUUGAAGAAGGGAAUCCACGAAGGAAUAUCAAGACUUCCUAAUUAUCAUACAUUUCUUUAUCGUACAUCUUAUGGUCCCUAUAUACACUACAGUAUUCCUUACACUGUUACUUCCACAUGAGUUAGAUGAACAAGGGAGACUUACACAAGUACUGAUACAUAUUUUUAUCCAAAAUUUGCAGGUGUAGGUCUUGCACUUGUGGUUACAGUAACCACCGCAGCUCUCUGCUACUACUGGGGCAUGAAGAGAAGACAGGUGAGAAGAAAGAGAGCUGAGUUAUUCAGGAAGAAUGGAGGUUUGCUGCUGCAACAAAGACUUUCGGCAACCACUUCUCAAGGUAAGGGCUCCUCAGCAAAGAUAUUCAGCGCACAAGAGCUCAAGAUUGCCACUAACAGUUAUAGUGAGAGUCAAAUUCUUGGCCGAGGUGGAUAUGGUACAGUGUAUAAAGGUGUUCUUCCAGAUGAGACUGUGGUUACCGUAAAGAAGUCUAGGGUUUUUGAUGAGAGCCAGAUGGAGCAAUUUGUCAAUGAGAUUACCAUCUUAUACAGACCGAUCAUGCAAAUGUUGUCAAGCUUUUGGGAUGAUGUCUAGAGACAGAAGUUCCAUUGUUGGUAUAUGAGUUCAUACCCAAUGGAACACUCUUUCAGCACAUCCACAACAGAAAUGCACCGCGCUCCUUAACCUGGGAAGAUACCUUAAGGAUAGCUGCAGAAAUAGCAGAAGCGCUUGCCUACCUGCACUCCACGUCUUCUAUACCAAUCAUUCAUAGGGACAUCAAAUCAAGCAACAUACUGUUGGACGAGAACUUUGUGGCUAAAAUAUCAGACUUUGGUGCAUCGAGAUCAGUUCCAUUUGAUCAAACGCAUGUAACAACACUUAUUCAAGGAACCAUAGGGUACCUCGAUCCUGAAUAUUUCCAAAGCAGUAUGCUAACAGAGAAGAGUGACGUCUACAGUUUUGGAGUAGUUCUUGCAGAGCUAUUGACAAGGCAGAAGCCUAUCUCCGUAGGCAGGCCAGAGGAAUCGUGCAACUUAGCCAUGCAUAUAGCGAUUCUAUUUAGUGAAGGGCGCCUAGUUCAGGAGAUAGAGCCAAAUAUUGUGGCAGAAGCAGGUGAAGAGCAACUGUAUGCGGUUGCACAGCUCUCUCUGAGAUGCUUAAAUUUGAGUGGACAACAACGACCAGUCAUGAAGGAGGUGGCUUCAGUUUUAAACGAGCUUAGACGGUCAUUUGCCAAGGAACAAACUAUGAGAACAAAAGAUGAACCUGUACAAAAAAAUAAUGAGCUCGUACAUGAGGCAAGACCAAUUUCCAGCCUGCACUGUUCAGAAGGAAGUACACAGUUCAGCAUAGAAGCUGAAAUGAUAGCUUAUCAUUCGCCAAGAUGAUGUACUUCUCGGAAAUAUUCUAAUGUAAGUUGACAUCUCAGAGACAAUGUGCAAUAUAUUUAUGGAGACAUUAUCUGAAAUAGCUCAGAGUAAUCACUAUUUGGGUCAACACUCAACAAUCACCAUGGUAUUGAUUUCCCAACUUUGCGGCCAGAUCCAAAUGUAACUUCUAAUUUAAAAUAUUUCAAUGGUAUCGCAUGUGUCCCUUGAAUUUUAUCUAAAUCAAGCCUUUGAAAACAACCAUCAUCUGCCCGGAACCUAAGCAAAACCAUGGGAGUGCAGAGUGCCUAAAAAAAUUAGUCACACAUGCCUAAUUAGCCCCUCAGGAUUAUGUUGUCAAUGUGCAGUUUGUCCAUGGUUCCAAGGAAAGUAUGUUGAUUUGAACUUACUGCAUUGGCUUCGGUCAUUCCAAGUACACUUGAGGUCGAGCUUAACGGUGGUCAUUAUAUACAAAACCAGUUACUGAUCUGUAGUGCAUUAUACCCGUUUAUACAUAUGUUGGUGAUCACCACAUAUACAGGUUAAUGCUCGUGGCUUCAUCAUGAGCAUGAUUUUACCACCUCAAAGCAGAGUCCACCUGAAUCUUGAAUGCAAAUAUGCAGACAACGAAUUAUACAUUUAUUUUAGUUAAGUAGUGGGAUCCACCUAGUUUGAUCAAUAUCUGAACACAUCGUUUUUCAACACAAGGGGCUCAUCUCCAAUCUCUGUCGACGAAUGCACACAGUCAGAAAUCCCUAAACUGUUCUAAGAAUUCAGUACAAACCAGAACCAAAACCUAAGAGCAUGACAAAAUGGCAACGAAGUACCCAUGGAUUGCCUCUACCGAAAUAGAUAUGGUGGAGUUAUUUGAAUCGGGCUUAAACCAAGUACGAGUAGUGUCCCCGCCGUUCAGCCAAUGAGAAAGGCAAUAACACAAACAGAACUGCAGAAGAAAGCCAGUAGCAGAUUCAAAAUAUACAUACAAAAGAUCUAGGGUUUUAGUCUUACCUCGCCGCCGUGCAGUCAGGCACGGGAACUCCAACGCGGCUCCGACCUGGCUUCCCCGCGCAUCUUCCAUAUCCUUCCGGCCGCAUGGUCCCGUGAUUCGGGGGGUUGCAUUUGCAUCUCUAGGCCCGCGAGGGCGUGAUGCACUGACCUCAUGAGCUUCACAAUUGUGGCUGUGGUCGGGGUCAAAGCCUGAGGCCACCGGCUAGACGCUUCCUCGUUGGCUCCGACGGUGCCGAUCUGGCGGCGGUGGUGGCGUGGGCAGCAUUGCGGCUGCCGGGAAGGUGCCGCGGCACGCAACGCAACGGGAAGAGCAGUCUUUCGGGCUGAAAUGGGUACUGGGAAGAGAAGCCCAAGCAGGUCAUUUACUGACACGUUGAGAAUUUGAGAUUAGGCCCGUCACGGAUCUGAUGGCCAGAGGUGGGAAAGGGUUUGUCUGUUCCAAGCUGCGACAAAUUGCACAAAACAC